UGUAGAUGUGGUGUGUGUAUUAGCAGAGGCACUCAGAUCUGAAUCACCAGAAAAACACAGUGGGAUUAUGCAGAUUUCUCAAUUUGCAGACAUUAGUGAGGAUAAAAAGAGGAGAUGUGCUAAACCAGCUCAACUGCUUUUGACCCACCUCAAAAAUCAAAACCCUUCCAGCAUCUAGCUGACUAGCUCUGCAAUUUCCAGUUUUUAAGAUAUUGUGCUAUAUUCAUCUCCACUUAGUAAUAUUUGUUCUCUUUUGUUUUGUUGAUGUUGCUUUCGUUUGCAUGAUGUACUUAUUUAUAUAUGUGGAUAAACUCUUAUACAAAAUUCCCCUAUUUGUGUCAUAGGACAAAUCUUUAUUCUCUUUUUUCCUUCCUACAUAUGUAUUGUAUAUGAAUGACAUUGCAAAAGUUGAUUAUAUUUUCCAAAGUCGAUGCUUUAAUAGGAAGAAACAAAAACAAGAUAUCAUAUUACCAAUGGAAAAUACACUUCUCUUUUAUGCAUAUAACCAUUGAUCGAAAGACUAUCAGCCACGAAUUUCUGAAAUGAAGAAAUCAUGCAGAUCAUCGUCAUUAGCUGAAACAUUAUAAUCAUCCUCAUAGUUGGGUGUUGAUGGCAAGCUUUUAAUAAUGCCGCAUGCAAUAUUGGCCCAUGAAGAAUUAUUUUGUUCCUGAUUGCUUGGUAUCCUUCCUCUGCUAAUCUGCUAUUACAUCAUUCAAUGGUUAUAUGAACUAACGAAUAAAAACAACUAAAAGAACGUUUAAAAGCUAAAAGAACCUACACUACUAGAAAACAUAGCAAUAGUGACGGAAAAAAUCCGUCGGAAAAGAUCACUGGUUUCCGAUGAUUUCUGACAUAAGAGUUAAUAGGAUAUUAGCGACGUUUUGCGACGGUUUAGCAACAGAAUAAAAUCUGUCGGUAAUUCGUUACAACUUCCGACAGUUUACCGACAGAAAUCAACAAGUUUAAAAUUUUGUCGGUAAUCGGUUGGCAAAAUUAAAUUUUUAUUUUUUAAUUCUAAGGGCAAUUCGGUUAAUUCAACUAAGGGGUAUUUCCGAGGGAUGAGUCGUGCUGCAUCAUAUCGACUUAACCUAAAUCAAUCUCCCCAGAACUGUGAACGAAGGCGUCAACGCUCCGACUAGAGUUCUUUGAGUAGUGUUUAAUUCUCUUUGCCACUACAAGAAAAAUAGCCUUUUACGACGCGCAAACCACGACACUCAUUGAUUUAUGUUACGCAAUGGAGAGUGACGUUAAAAAAGCGUCAUCUCUUCAAAAAAUUUAAGGAUUUAGGUCACGCAUUAUUGCGUGCCCUUAAAUUAGCGUCAUACGAGAAAAAAUUAAAAACACGGAGGGCACUGUAUCUUAAAUGAGCGUCCUCUAUGAGUGUCACUUUAUAAUUUUAAUGAAAAGCGCGUUUAGUAGAUAGGGGGAAAAUGAAAUCCCUAAAAUUUUGAACACCCGCCUUCUUUUUUAUCCUCCACUUUUGUUUCCUUCUUGCCCUAAUUACGAUCCUUUCUUCCCCCUCCAUAGAUUCGACUGCUGCCUUACCUAGUUAUCGACACUCCUUCCUUCGUUCGUCACUUGCCUUCUUCGCCUGACAAUAUCUCAAGAAGUACAACUCCGAAAGCGUACAAGCUGCUAUCGGUUUCGCCAUAGAGUUCCGCCGUUCCAAAAUCGCAUAUUUUCGCGUUGAGUGACUAUGAUUGGGUUACAAUUAUGCUUGAGCCGACGAUUGGGUUACAAUUAUGCUUGAAAGUGUGAAGAACUUACAUGCUCCAUCUACUUAUAUCCUAGAGCCGACGAUUUAGGACCUUACCGCUUCUCAUCCCACACAGCGCCGACGAUUUAGGGCCUUACAAGCCCUAGCUCGGAUUGAACUAAGAAUUUAGCGAGAGAAAUCAAGAUUUUUGGUCAUCAUCAUCACGUUUGCAUUAGCAUCCAUAGGCUACAGAUCUCAAAUUCCUCUUCAGAUCCUCGUAAUUAACCUUUCCCAAGAUCUCGAUUUGAUCAAACAUACAUAUAAUUGCAGUCACCGGUCUACAACCUGGUUAUAUAGUUCAUUUUUGCACUAAACAUCUCAGGAUCUGAUCGAGCUCUCUCGCGGUUUCGUUCCCUUUCAAGAAAUCUCUUCCCCUCUCCCUCUCUCAUAAACCCACCAAUUUCUCGUUGAAAGCGCGCGGCCUUUGAAUCAGGCAUCUAUUUUGAAAUUUUUGUUCGAGGAAGAAAGGGCUCGCCUUCUUACCCAGGUCUAUUUUCCUUCAUCUUUUAUUUCAACGAUUGCUCUGUUUCAUCUUUCUUGGUUAGAUCAUGUCGACUAUGCAUAUGGGUGGGUUAUUACACUUUAAUGCUCCUUUGAAAUCAGUUAGGGUUACAUAUGAAAAGAAAGAAAACCCUAAUCUGAAAGAGCUUUUAGGGUUCUUACAGACCUUCUUCAAGUACCUUCAACAUGGUUACGUAGCUGUAGAUUACUCACUCUUUUCUUCUCUUAUCUUUCCUCUUUGCUUUUACAGGUAAUACGACAUGAUAGUCUGGUACAACUCUUGCUUCUUGGCAGGAUGUUACAGGGGACCACCAAACUUCCAUGGAAAUUUUCACACCAUCCAGCUGCUGCUGGUACGUUUUUCACAGUCAUGCUACUUGGACUUAAAUUCUGCACAUGCCAGUAUGAAGGGAGCCUACAAAAUGUUAGAUUGGGAAUUCAGCUGCUGGAAGAUGGGAUUUAUCGGUAUUACAUUCAACUCGUCUUUCUUCAUAAUAUAACAUUUUUUAUUUUAAUUUAAAUUCUGAAGUGGAAAACUGAAACCAACUGCAGGGCUGCAUUAGGCUGGUUUGCUUACGAACCUGAAUGGUUUGAACAUGAUCAUGGAAAUUUUGCACACAUCGAGGCUCAAUUUGUUAAUUCAUUUGUUCACUAUCUCCAAAACGAUCCAAAAGCACUGGGUGGGGAAUAUGGGGGAUCUUUUCUUGACAUGGUAAGACACCGAUAUUGCUAUUUAUCAUGUUGUGUUUUAUGAUUUUUUUUAUUAACAAUGAACAAUCUCAUAUAAUAAGAGGCGUUGCUUCCAAGAAUAGACUUGAUGAGUGGUAGCCUUCCACCAAGGGAGGUGAUAUAUCCACUCCAUUUUUUAAUACUUCCACUUAAAAUUUAAGAGUUGUGACUUUUUUGCCCUUAUUUUGUUUUUGAAAAGAGAGAAAGAUCCCAAACGUCUGGAACCGUUUCUCCUUUUGACGCCAACUCUUCUUCCCAAGCGACCAACGCUGAUUCCUCGUUGCCGUUCAAGAAUUGUCAGCCGCCAUCGCUUCUUCCAAGUCGCCGGUCGCCGGUUGCCAUUGAUUCUUCAACAGUAAGUAAGCUUUUUGGUACUAAUUCUUGUUAUACAUGAGUUUUUGUUUAAUGGAUUUGGGUUCCUAUCCAGCUAUAGUUUUCAACUUGGAAUCCUCUUCCUUUAGAAAGCAACUGUAAUGCAAACAAUUGUUUUGGUUAAAUCUUUCAGAGAGUUUUCUUCCUCAUGUGGUCAAGAUAUUUACCAUUUUCUAGUUCCCAUGUAACUCUUUUUUUGCUUCUUCAAAUUCUUUCUAUUACAAUGGCAUCGAGUCAGUAAAAGUACAAAACAAAUCAAACAAAAUUCAUAAAGUGUUUAAAAUAAGUAGCCCCUUUCCUGUUCAGAGUAUAUGUUUGUUUCCCUGCUUAUAAAAUUGAUUCAACAAAUUAAAAUAAUGUAAAUGGACUAAACAGGGGAUCCUAUUGAUGAGGGAUUUAAAAAAAAAAAAGAUGAUGGAUGUUACAGCCAUCACUACUUUAUUUAUAUAGUACAUAAUCUACAUUUUUAUUUCUUUCUUCUAGAGCUAACGUGAUCAUCAAAUUUUAUUAUAGUUCGAUAACUUAUUGCCGGAUCUCAUUAUUGUAUAACUUGAAUUUUAUUUGAUUGACAAUAAUGCUUCCCUAACGGCUAACAGGGAGGCUAAAAGGGCUGUUAGAUUUCCUAAAAGUUGAUCCAUUUUUUAUUCAAUGCAGAAUAUAGAGGAGGAAGUUAACUCUUUAAAAGAUAAUGUUUUAAAAAUUGAAGUGGCUGCCUUAGUAAUAGGAAAAAUAUAUGAUGAACAAUACGAGAAGGGAAAAGAACUACGAGCUCGAUUCCAAGUUGCAGAAGAAGUCUGCCAACAAGCUUAUACACAUUUAUAUAGUUUGAAGAAACGUUUAUAUGACAAGGUUUGUUGUAAAAUUUUGCAUCUUACACAAAACGAAACUUAAUAUAAUAAUUAUAAUUUUCUAUUGAUUGACUGAACAAAANCAUAGAAGAUGCGACUGCAGCAAGGAAUUUUGCAUCUGGUGGAGAUAAAGUUGCACUUCAUCAACCGUGUGUUAAUCAGGUUCGUUAUCUUAUCUUCUCGAUAUUCUAAUUUCAUAUUUAGUAUGUGGUUUGUGGCUAACAUGUUUUUUAAUUACUUUAGGUGGAAAAAAUAAGGGAAGAAUCGAACUCAAAUGAAGAAUUUAGGAAAGACAAUAUUAGUAGGACCACACCAAGUACACUUGUUGAAACUUCGCCUGAGAGUCAUAUGAAUGAAAGAAUUGAUGUGAAAGCAGAUCCUAUCUCAAGUAAAUUGGAAUCCAUUUCAGUAGUUUCAAAAGUUGAACAAGGAAAGAAGACAGCUUCGUGUGUGAGUGAUAUCUGCGAAAGAAUUGCUACGAAUUCAGUUUCUAUCUCAAGUGAAACCGAAUCUGUUUCAUUGGUUUCAUUGGUUUCAAAAGUAGAACAANGAAAAAGAACCUCUAGAUGCCCUUGAAGGGAAAACAGCUUUUCAACACGUAAGAAAGUGGACAUGAAAAGUUAAUCUUUUUGAGAAAGACUUUGUCUUUAUUCCUGUAAUUUACAAGUAAGUUGGAAAACAGUUUGCUUUCUAUACAUUUCAUUUGAACAGUUGACAAUUAUUUCUGUUGUUUCACAGCUAUCAUUGGAGUCUUAUUGUGAUGUGUCAUCUUGGGGAAGUUGCGAAAUACAAGGGUAUAGCUGUCAUUUCUCUUUGACAUCUUCAAGUAUUUUAUGAGGCAUGGUUAUCACUUUUUUCUAAUGUUAUAAUCUGGUUUAUAGAUGAAGAAGAUGUAACUGAGUUGAUUAAAGUGCCAUGUGUUCUGCAUAUGGAUCCUAUCAGAGGUAGUCAUACUGGUUUGAAAGGUCUUAUGCAAAGGUAACAUUUUUUUUAUUAUAUAAACAUUUUAUUUUAUUUUUAAAUUAUAAACCUUUAAAUAUGCCAUUCUAGCUAUCUGAAAGAAGAGUGGAAAGGGAGGCAGCAGGAGGCAUCUAAAGAUAUAUCAUCAAGAUUCGAUAAUCUACGCUUUAUUUCACUUGAGGUAUCAUCUGGAUAAAUAAUGUUUCAAAAUUAUUUGAGAAAUGGAAAGGAAAAAUAUACGAGGGCAAAAUUGUGAAUUUGUAUUAAAUUCUAAAAUCUGAAUUUUGUGUUGUUUUUGCAGUUACCACAGCAGCCGAAUUCAUUCGACUGUGGUUUAUUCUUGCUCCAUUAUGUAGAACUUUUCUUGGAGCAAGCCCCGAUUAAUUUUAAUCCAUUUAAAAUCACAAAAAGUGUCCACUUUGUAAGGACAUGGACCAUUUAUGUAAAAAUUAAUAAUAUAAGUGAGCUGUUGUUUGUGAAUAUGUGACUCAGCUAAAUACGGAUUGGUUUCCACCUGCUGAUGCAUCCUUGAAAAGGGUGGUUAUUCAGAGACUGGUGUAUGAUCUCCUACAACAACCUUAUGAUGAAGCUGAAGCCUUUUACAAAGUAUUUUCCCAAGUAAGUGCAAAAAGAUUUCUUUUGGCAAAGUUUCAUAUCAAUUUUGAUCCUUGUGUUAACUUUAACAACCCUUUUGUUAAAUUAAUAAAUAUGACUGUUUUGCCCUUAUCCGAUUCUUGGAUUUUAUAUUUCAUUGGAUGCUUGCAGCUUUGACCAGCCUUUUGAAGAAGUUAUAUAUCCAAAAGAGGAUGUUGAUGCUGUUUCCAUUAGUAAGAGAGACGUUGAUUUGCUGCUACCAGACACAUUUGUCAAUGACACCAUCAUUGACUUUUAUGUCAAGUAUGUUUAUCUUACUUAUUUGAUGGAAUAAAUUACUUUCAUAACAAUCCAUAUUACAAAUAUAAAAACUUAAAUGUACAUCAGACUAGAAGUCUUUACAUAUGAAAUUGUAUUCUAAAUUUCUAACUGAUGACAGAUACUUGAAGAACAAAAUCAGCAAAAUGAAGCCACUUGAUUUAAAUCUUGCAGCAUUAUCAGCAAAAUGCAAUAAAGACUUGGAGUUGAAUUUGGCUAAGUCAUUAUUGAGUGAGAUGGGCCAAUGUACAACUGCUUAUCCAUAUAAUCAACUGUUUGGAGCAUUAGUCUUAAAGAAUUAUGAAAGGAAAGAUGCAACUUUACUUAGUUGGAAUUUGAUGUACAUAGUAGAUUAGAUGCAAAUUUAUAUAUUGUAAGAAAUAGAAUUGUAUGACAUUAGAUUUAUGCAAUGUAUUCUAUUUUUUGUAUAUGGUAUUUUAUUUGCUAUUAUGAAACAUUAAAUACAAAUUUAAUUUGAAAAUAAGUAAAUAUAUAAAUAAUAUAUUUUUUUAAACAUUUAAAAUUAUGAUACGCAAAAAUGUGUGUCAUAUUCAUUUAUGACAUGGCCUUUCUUGACAGGGGCUUUCUUGAUACGCAUUGCGUGUCAUUAACACGCGCGUCGUAAGGUUACGACACACGAAUGCGUGUCGUCUUCCUUUAUGACAGGGCCUUCCUUGAUACGCAUUGCGUGUCGUAACCGCGCGUCGUAAAUGCGCGCCGUAAAUGCGCGUCGUCUAUAGAUGACGCGCAAAAGCGCGUCGUCUCUCUUUAUGACAGGGCCUUCCUUGACGCGCAUUUGCGCGUCGUCUGAGCGUUUUACGACGCGCAAUGAGCGUCGUAAAAGGCCUUUUUUCUAGUGCAUAGCGUACAACACAGAUGUAAUUUUUAUACCUAAAUUCGUAUCGUCCUUUCUGAGCGAAAUUAAGAAGAUGAAUGUUAGUGUAUUAAUUGAUGUAAUUGAUCGGAAUUUGGUUGGGUGCAAUGGAGAUUUGGAUUUACAAGGUUUUCAUUUCAAAUAGAUGUUUAGUACUCACGAUUUGAGUCUCCUUCCCAUAUUAUGGUAUCGAUAAAGAAAAGUUUUGGUUCAUGACUUCAAAGCUCCUAUAAAGACCAUACAACAAAGACAUAUAUAAUACACCUACUGCAAAAACAAACAACCUGGAAAAAUAAGAAAAUAAAUAGCUAGCAUUUCAUCAUUAUAAAAGCAUUAGGUUUGAAGUUUUGACUUACCGCUGAAAGUAGAAUUUCUUUCUAAAUGUUAUGGCCGAAUAGACUUCAUUAUUGUUAACACACCAUAUCUCGGUGGUUAUUGAAGCCAACAGAUAUCCAAUUGAAAUCCUCUGUAUAGUUAUAUUAUAAUUGAUACAGAUGAUUGCCAUUGACAUCCAAAGAAAGUUCUUGCAUAGAUAUCUUUGAAGCUGUAAAAUCGGGUUAUAGUCUUAUAGAUAAGUACUAAACUUAGUUUAUUUGUUAUUUUUCCUUAUUUUGUUUAAACUUUUCUGCAUACAAUGAACUUCUUUCUUUGUCCAAGAUUAGAUGUCACUUUCCAUUAGUUGAAAACUUAUUAUUAAGUAAAUCAUUCCAAUCUUACACCAUUAAAUUGUGUAACGACCAUAAAAUUUCAACAAUUUUAACUUUUCAAAAACAACCCAUUUUCUUAAUGUUAUUACAAAAAGAUUUUCAAUACAAUUAUUAUCAGAGUCUUCCCAGAAUCACAUCAUAAAACAUAAUCAUGAGGAGCGGUACGAUCACGCCUUUGUCUUGCCACGGUCUCCUGAAGAACCUGAAAAACAUUAAACCACAACUGUAAGCCCGAAAGCUUAGUGAGAUACCCCCAAAAUACCAACCACAUAUACCAUACACGCAUAACAUGCCAUAUCAUAUCAUAACACAAAACAACCAUGCACUGCUGGUCUACUGUGUGACUGGUCCGCCAACAAUCCACCUGAUCCACCCUCCGAGUCUAGCCAUAUACAUCAAGUCUGCAGUGUGAUUGGUCUGUGCCGCACCGGGCCUUCAGUCGGCCUGGUCCACUCUCCGAGCCUCGGCACAUCUGGUCCGCCCUCUUGGGGCCUACAGCCUAUCCGGACCGCUCGCUGGGCCUUUGGGACAACCGGUCCGCCCUGGGUAUGUUGGCCUACACCACAAAGCAGGACCCACUUCAACCCAACCCCAGUCCAACAACCAUGAGCACAUAAACAUACAAUCAUAUAACAAUUCACAGUCAACAAGCCAAUCUAGCAGAUCACAUAACAUAUCAUCAUCCUAACCAGGAUACUGACCUAACCGGUCACUAGCAUAGCAUCAUCCUAAAUGCCAGGAUACCGACCUUAACCAGGUCUCUAACAUAUACCAUCCUAGCUACCAGGAUGCAAACAUAUCAAAGUAAUAACAUAACAACAAAUACCCGGAUCUCAAUCCGAUAAAGGGCCGGCCUUGGUGCCUUAGACCCUGUUGAUAUAGUGAGGAUAACUCACCUCGCAACUGCCGAAACUCUGAACUGAAGAAGCAGAUUCCCAAAUCAUCGCCUCACCGAAAAUCCCGAACUAUCCGAAGAAGCAAAAUAACCAUUAGACCAAGCACAAUAUCCUUCCAAGGGUAAAUUGACCAAUUUACCCUUAACUCAAUCCGGCCCAUGACUAAGCCCCACAAUCAAAUUAUGAAAGGCCCAACACUAGAUAAGCUCUCAAUCCCACUAAUGGCCCAAAGACCAAAAGUCCGAAGCAAAGCCCAAUAUUGGCCCAAUUUACUAAAUUGGGCCCACCUCACCAAAUGGGCCUAGACCCAUGGUCCAUAAUAAUUAAUGAGUCCAUAAUACUCCAUCCAUAAUGUCCAGUCACGGCCCAAAAUCCAGCAGCCCAAUAACAGCCCAAUCCCUAAGGCCCAAAAUGAAAACCCAACAGAGGGAGUACGCUGGGCGUACCCCUCUUGGUACGCCGGGCGUAACUCAAAGUUCACGGGUUGGAAUCAGGACUCAUAAUCACUACGCGGGACAUAAUCUCGCUGACUUCAAAUCGUCAUGGGUUCUUAAUGGCUUAAUCUCUUAAGUCCAAACUUCAGAUCCAUAGGCCAAAUAUACCUAGGAUUCAUAAAGUCUUAAACUUUAUUGCUUGGGACGUCUAUAAAGCUCUUAACCCAAGGUCUUAAUCCAUUAAGACCUACUUAUCUCACACAUGGAACAACCACAACCCUUGGGACCUCAUUUUUCUCACUCAAGACCUCUCCUAAGGUCUGAAAGGACAGAUAAUCUCGACCAACUCGAAACAUGCAUCAAGAUGAGAACUUUUGGGACAAGAAUGGUGUCAAUACCUCACAACACAUAGAUCUAUUCAAUAUAAAUGUCAAGCAAGAAGCUUUAUACCUCAGAUAGGCUCCAAAGGAUGCUGUCUUUCCAGAUCUAUAAGUUCCAGCUGCUCCACUCCUUCUUUGACAACUUCUCCUUUCUUCCUUUAUGCUUUCCUUUGCUAAUCUAAGCUUUCCAAGACCAAACACACCCAACAAUGGAGGUAAGACGGAUAUCUAGGGUUUCUGAGGGUAAGAGAGUGUCUAUGGAGGCUGAGGAGGGAACCAUUAUGUUCCUUAUAUAGUGGUUGCCCUUAAAAUUAGGGUUUUAAGACUCUGAGAGUACGCUGGGCGUACUCGACCUUGCACCCGCGUCCAUUUACUCAUUACGUUGGGCGUACCCAUGCGUGUCUCAUGCAUGCAUGGCUUACAUUGUCAACCUUUUCCAUUAAGGGCCAUAAAUGCCAAUAUCUUCAAAGUGUCAUAACUCCCUCAUUCUAGCUCCGUUUUUGAUGGACUUUAUAUCCACGAAGAGGUGGCGAGAAUCCCUACGCUUCUAGAUACAUACACUGGUCCGAAACCUUCUCAGAUGAAACCCAUUUCCCAUAAAAGGACCAAAAUACCCUUCCUCUUAAAUCCCGGGGACUCAUAAAUAAAUACUUUAAGAACGGGGCGUUACAAAUUGACCACAACUCCCCUCCCCUCCCCCUAUUUACACAACCCACCAUCUUUUAUAUAUAAAAUCUUCACAAACACUUGUUUUUUUAGAUCAUUGUUAAUUUGAUGUAAGGUUUGGUAGCAUUGAGCGCAUAGGAAUAAGCUGAAUAUGAAUUAUUAUCGAGCCAUAUUGAAUCAAAUCACUGCAUGACAAGACAAGAAAGAGAAAUUAUAUGUGUAGAAUGAAAAAGUAAAAUGGAACUAAGAUUCUAAUUCUAUUCUAAGGGGCUUUUGGUCCAUGCGGUUAUGAUGAAUUUACAUUCAAAAUCUAUACAAGUUCUUUGUAUUUUAAAACUAAAAAUAAAAAAGAAUAGGAUUUUAAUCCCAAAUUGCAGUUGACGAUAGUCUUUCCUGGUGAUCGUUUUAGUUGUAGAGUUAGUGAAGGCAAUAAGGUCUUUUCCAAUUAAGUGAGUAGAUAGGUCUGUAUUUAGUUUGCUUCUUGCCAUUGGGAUUUUAAGAGUUAGCCUUCCUUUAUAUAAUAUUACUCUGACUCUGACCUAGUUCCAAGUUAAGUUAAUUUUAAUUUUCUUUUUUUAGUUAGCUCAAACACAUGAUGUUGACAUCAAUAUUGAGGAGGACAUGGAUACUAGUGCUCCUUAAUUAUGUGGCAUGUUAGUUGCUUAUGUGAUAGGUAGUAUUCUACUGAUUAUGUGGUAUGUUAAUUGAUUAUGUGGUACGUGAUAUGCUAGUGGUCUUUGUGAUACUGGCAUGGAAGACCUCGGGGGGGUUCCCGGGGCACUAGGGUGUAAGACCUUGGAGGGUUUCCAUGGCAUCCUUAUUUAAGACCACAAGGGGGUUCCCAUGGCAUUAGGCUAAGACCAUGUAGGGGUUCCCAUGUCAUCUGGUGUAAGACCCUGGAGGGUUUCCAGGGCAUCCUUAUGUGUUUGCAUGCUUAACUUAUAUGUUGGUAUGUAUGGCUUGAUUGGUAGUUAGUGAUGACCAUGUGGGGGUUCCCAUGGCAGUGGGCUAAGACCCUGGAGGGUUUCCAGGGUACCCGAUGUAAGACCUUGGAAGGUUUCCAUGGCUUCCCUAUAUGUUUAUAUGCAUGGCUGGUGUAGUUUAUAUGAUUUACAUGAGUAUGUGAAUAAGACCUUGGAGGGUUUCGAUGACAUCUUUAUAUGUGUAUAUGCAUGCUUAUGUGAUUGUUACAAUUUAUGUAGUUGUUGUAGCUGAUGUGGAUUAUGUGGUUAUGUGGAUUGUAUGGGGUAUGCACGGAGGAACUCACUAAGCUUCACGCUUAUAUUUUUGUUUAUGGUUUCAGGUAUCAUCGAUUUGGAAAAGAAGGUCUUGGAUCGAUCGCAGUGCACACACCUAUGAUUUCCGCAAUGAAUGAUUUUGGGAUAAACUCUGAUAAAUAUUUUACUUAAUGAUGAUUUGAAAUGUUUGAAAUAAAUGGUAUCAAUGUUUUAGCUAUAUUUUAAAAUGAAAUUUUUAUCAUUGAUUUUUGGAUCAUUACAAAUCCAAAUUGUCCAAUUGGACAAUUUGGUUUCAUCCAAAAGUUUAAAAAAUGUAUGAAAAUUUAUAAAAAAAAAUGUAUGAAAAUUUAUAAAAAAAAAAUGUAUGGAAAUUUAAAAAUGUUGUAAAAGAAAGUUUAGAAAAUAUUUUAUGAAAUUUUAGAAAAAAAAAACGUUGUAUGAAAAUAUUAAAAAAAAUUUUAAAAAUUUAAAACAUUUAAAAAUUUAUGAAUUUUUUUUUUUAAUUUGUAUGAAAGUAUAAAAAAAAGUUCAAUUUUUUUUUCACAUUUAACAACUUUUUUUUCCGUAUAAAUUUGACUAUUUAACUUAUUAAAUGUGCUCAUAUGUUAUCAUUGUGACCUACGAUAACAGGUGAGAAUAGUAAUAUGUAAACACUCGCAAGUCAUUUUCUAUAAUAUUUUAUAUUUUCAGUGGAAAAAUCAAACUAUUAUAUCAUUUAGAAAAAAUUGCAAAAAUGGUCUAUGUGGUAUGUAUUUUUUGGGGUUUCAGUCCAAACCUGAACUUUUUUGGAUUCAUGGUUUUGGCCUAGUUUGUACGUAGAAUUGGUCCCCCAACUUAACUUCCGUUAAGUUGUUGUUGUUAACCCCUCAUAUGCGAGGGUAUAUUUGUCUUCCUGUUGUUAUGGAAUCAAAUCUCGCCUCAACAAGAAAAAAAAAGGAGUACGUAUGUAUAUGUUCUUGACUGUGUUUUGGGUUGAGAGAGAGAGAGAGAGAGCUUUUUUAUUUUUUAAUUAUUAAAAUAAAUAAAUAUGUAUUAAUUUUUCUAAAAAAAAUGGGGAUAUAUUUUUUAGGUGCAAAAAUAGUCAUUUAUAAGUGAAAAGACAAAUAUACCUUCGUACAUGAGGGGUUAACAACAACAACUUAACGGAAGUUAAGUCGGGGGACCAAUUCUACGUACAAACUAGGCCAAAAUGACCAUAAAUCUAAAAAAAGUCUAGAACUAAAACCCCAAAAAAAUACAGGAGCAUUUUUGCAAUUUUGUCUAUCAUUUAUAAUGUGUUUUUCAAACCAUUAUCGCAUAAUAAAAAAAAAUAAUAAUAAAAAAAAAAAAAAAAAAAGCCGUCCUUUUGAUUCGGUACAACAUAAAAUAAUAAAAGUAAAAAAGCAACAACUUUAAUCAUAUAUGAGAUCUAAAUAAAGAAUCAAAUCUGCAACUUUAAUGAUAUAUGAGAUGAUAUAAACUAAACCCUGGUAAUUAAACUCAAAAAUCUUGACUGGUGUCUUCUUCUCGACCUUGGCAAUACAAUGUCGUCGUCAAGACCUGUACCUGUAGAAAUGACCCCCAAUGAAAUCGAAAAGAGGCUUCAACACUGUCCACCAGAUCUUAUGAUACGAUCGAUUACUGAUAGGUGAAUCAGCAGUGAAGAAAUAUGAAUUUUUAGACAGCAAGUGGAUUGGAAAACCUGGUAUCAAGUUAGAACGUUAUACGGAUGAAAAGAUUGCUGCACUGGGCAGGGUAGUCAUACCCAUGUUAUCUUCAGGUUUUAGCUUAGAAGCAGAAAGAUGUGCAUCGAUUUUUGUUCUGGCUUAUCAUCUUAAAGCACCAGGUAGCAGAUUCAGAUCUUUUAUCUUCAACUCCGAUGAAAGUCUACAAGUGACGUCAGAUCAACAGUACAACAACGACCCUUCAGAGAUGGUGAAGGCCGAAAGUCACGUGAUCGCAGCAACAAGUGAUCCAACAAGAGAGGCAGCGGUGUACUCAUACGUUGCUGCGUCAUUGUUUCGACUGUUCACGAAACCAGCAUCUUAUUACAUUAAGACAUGGUCUCAUGUUCUGAAUGGCUUUUCCAAAUUCUACGCUGAACCAAUGAGGGUGAUGCUUCCUGUUCCUACUGAGGCAGCAAUGGUGGUUCUCUCACGAAAAAUCAAAAGUAACCUUGUAUCGUUUUCUUUAUAUGAGUAAUUCAGAUGAAAACCACAAGGAGUUCAAGACGUUUUUAUAUGAUAACGUCCUUGAGAAUACUGGUAUGCACAUUCUCAGUAUCACUGAACAACUGGCCGAUGUUUUGAACUGCUCUCUGGGCUCAGUCUUCAUUACAAUGGAAGGAGGAAAGACGAUGAGAAGUUUGCUUCAUGUACUGAAAAUGAUGACUUCAAAUGAUGAGAAUCAUAAAAGGAAUAUGUGGAGGUAUGGGAGGAUAUUCGAUGAAGCAUUCUUGGUUGAUCUUCAAACGAAAUCAUGUGUAGAUGUGGUGUAUGUAUUAGCAGAGGCACUCAGAUCUGAAUCACCAGAAAAACACAGUGGGAUUAUGCAGAUUUCUCAAUUUGCAGACACUAGCGUGGAGAAAAAAAGGAAAUUUGCUAAAUCAGCUCAACUGCUUUUGACCCACCUCAAAAAUCAAAACCCUUCCAGCAUCUAGCUGACUAGCUCUGAAAUUUCCAGUUUUUAAGAUAUUGUGCUAUAUUCAUCUCUACUUAGUAAUAUUUGUUCUCUUUUGUUGAUGUUGCUUUCGUUUGCAUGAUGUACCUAUUUAUAUAUGUGGAUAAACUCUUAUACAAAAUUCCCCUAUUUGUGUCAUAGGACAAAUCUUUAUUCUCUUUUUUCCUUCCUACAUAUGUAUUGUAUAUGAAUGACAUUGCAAAAGUUGAUUAUAUUUUCCAAAGUCGAUGCUUUAAUAGGAAGAAACAAAAACAAGAUACCAUAUUACCAAUGGAAAAUACACUUCUCUUUUAUGCAUAUAACCAUUGAUCGAAAGACUAUCAGCCACGAAUUUCUGAAAUGAAGAAAUCAUGCAGAUCAUCGUCAUUAGCUGAAACAUUAUAAUCAUCCUCAUAGUUGGGUGUUGAUGGCAAGCUUUUAUUAAUAAUGCCGCAUGCAAUAUUGGCCCAUGAAGAAUUAUUUUGUUCCUGAUUGCUUGGUAUCCUUCCUCUGCUAAUCUGCUAUUACAUCAUUCAAUGGUUAUAUGAACUAACGAAUAAAAACAACUAAAAGAACGUUUAAAAGCUAAAAGAACCUACACUACUAGAAAACAGAGCAUAGCGACAAAAUUUGGUGACUGGAAAAAAUCCGUCAGAAAAGAUCACGGGUUUCCCAAUUUCUGACAUAAUAGUUAUUAGGAUAUUAGCGACGUUAAUAAAAUAUGUCGGUAAUCCAUUACAACUUCCGACGGUUUACCGACGGAAAUCAACAAUUCUAAGGGCAAUCCGGUGAAAUCAACUAAGGGGUAUUUCCGAGGGAUGGACCGUGCUAACGACUUAACCUAAAUCAAGCUCCCCAGAACUGUAAACGAAGGCGUCAACAAUCUGACUGGAGUUCUUUGAGUAGUGCUUAAUUCUCUUUGCAUAGCUUACAACACAAGUGCAAUUUUUAUACCUAAAUUUGUAUCGUCCUUUCUGAGCGAAAUUAAGAAGAUGAAUGGUAGUGUAAUUGAUGUAAUCGAUCGGAAUUGGGUUGGGUGCAAGGGAGAUUUGGAUUUACAAGGUUUUUGUUUCAAAUAGAUGUUUAGGGUGCGUUUAGUUGCGGAAGAAUUGGCCGUUUUCCGGAAAAAAUUUCCAAAAAAAAAUAAGAAUUUUGAAAACGCGUUUAGUUCGUCUAUUUUUCUAAAAUUUUCACGGAAAAUGAAAAUUUCCCGUUUUCUAAAAUUAUAAAGAAGUUGAAUUUUUUUAGAAAAUCAAUAAUUAUUGUUUUCCACAUUUUCCUAAUUCCAAAAUAUUUCUAAAAUAUAUACACACACUUACUCCAACCUCUACCUAACUCCACCUUAACACCCNNNNNNNNNNNNNNNNNNNNNNNNNNNNNNNNNNNNNNNNNNNNNNNNNNNNNNNNNNNNNNNNNNNNNNNNNNNNNNNNNNNNNNNNNNNNNNNNNNNNACACACACGCACACACACACACAAACACCCACCCACACACACACAAACACCCACACCCAUAACACACACACACACCCACAAACACACACCACCCAACACCACUACUACAAUCACCGACCUACCAUCACCAUCACCACCACUACCCCAUCACCAGCAUCACCACUGUCGUUGCAAUCACCAGUUCACCACCACCACCUGCCUGUAGCUACCACCGCCACCGUUUUCUAAAAAUAAAAACCGAUAGAAAUAUACACAUCUAAACGCGUUUUCUAAUUUUCUAAAACUGAAAAUAAAAAAUGAAUAAGUUUUAACUAAACGCAUUUUCUAAAUUUUUCAAUGAAACUAAAACGAAAAACAAAAACUGAAAAGGAAAAAUGAAAAUUGUUUUUCUGUAACUAAACACAAGCUUAGUACUCACGAUUUGAGUCUCCU
This 15793-nucleotide long non-coding RNA is filed under the name Lactuca sativa (garden lettuce). Its description in RNAcentral is "long non-coding RNA (LSAT_LNC006505)". Lineage: Eukaryota; Viridiplantae; Streptophyta; Magnoliopsida; Asterales; Asteraceae. The record is from RNAcentral.